AGAGUUUGAUCAUGGCUCAGGACGAACGCUGGCGGCGUGCUUAACACAUGCAAGUCGAACGGAAAGGUCUCUUCGGAGAUACUCGAGUGGCGAACGGGUGAGUAACACGUGGGCGAUCUGCCCUGCACUUCGGGAUAAGCCUGGGAAACUGGGUCUAAUACCGGAUAGGACCACGGGAUUCAUGUCCUGUGGUGGAAAGCUUUUGCGGUGUGGGAUGGGCCCGCGGCCUAUCAGCUUGUUGGUGGGGUAACGGCCUACCAAGGCGACGACGGGUAGCCGGCCUGAGAGGGUGUCCGGCCACACUGGGACUGAGAUACGGCCCAGACUCCUACGGGAGGCAGCAGUGGGGAAUAUUGCACAAUGGGCGCAAGCCUGAUGCAGCGACGCCGCGUGGGGGAUGACGGCCUUCGGGUUGUAAACCWCUUUCACCAUCGACGAAGGUUCGGGUUUUCUCGGAUUGACGGUAGGUGGAGAAGAAGCACCGGCCAACUACGUGCCAGCAGCCGCGGUAAUACGUAGGGUGCGAGCGUUGUCCGGAAUUACUGGGCGUAAAGAGCUCGUAGGUGGUUUGUCGCGUUGUUCGUGAAAUCUCACRGCUURACUGUGAGCGUGCGGGCGAUACGGGCAGACUAGAGUACUGCAGGGGAGACUGGAAUUCCUGGUGUAGCGGUGGAAUGCGCAGAUAUCAGGAGGAACACCGGUGGCGAAGGCGGGUCUCUGGGCAGUAACUGACGCUGAGGAGCGAAAGCGUGGGGAGCGAACAGGAUUAGAUACCCUGGUAGU
This 783-nucleotide ribosomal RNA is filed under the name uncultured bacterium. Its description in RNAcentral is "bacterial SSU rRNA". It matches the Rfam family "Bacterial small subunit ribosomal RNA", at positions 8 to 794 of the family's 1533-position model. The record is from RNAcentral.